RNAcentral lists this ribosomal RNA (204 nucleotides) under uncultured Prevotella sp. RNAcentral's name for it is "partial 16S ribosomal RNA". It matches the Rfam family "Bacterial small subunit ribosomal RNA", at positions 150 to 355 of the family's 1533-position model. The record is from RNAcentral. Lineage: Bacteria; Pseudomonadati; Bacteroidota; Bacteroidia; Bacteroidales; Prevotellaceae.
GCAGAAAUGUGGGCUAAUACCUUAUAUUUCCACCAAGGGCAUCGUUGAUGGAACAAAGAUUUAUCGGUAUGGGAUGGGGAUGCGUCCGAUUAGGUUGUUGGCGGGGUAACGGCCCACCAAGCCAUCGAUCGGUAGGGGUUCUGAGAGGAAGGUCCCCCACAUAGGAACUGAGACACGGUCCUAACUCCUACGGAGGCAGCAGCA